Arabidopsis lyrata subsp. lyrata is the source of this 870-nucleotide long non-coding RNA. RefSeq lists it as uncharacterized. Lineage: Eukaryota; Viridiplantae; Streptophyta; Magnoliopsida; Brassicales; Brassicaceae. The record is from RefSeq and is a predicted model, not a curated record. The transcript is spliced from 2 exons.
AUUCAUCCAUAAAUAAUAUGAUCAAGAAAAUGGGAUACAAAACGAAACCUCGAUGAUCCAUGUUUCCGGCUUUUGGGUCUGACACAAAGCCCAAGGCCCAAAUCUAUAAUAACAAUAAAUUCGUUUUUUCUUAUUUUCAAAGAAGAUAAAAUAAUAAUAAAAUUAAAAGUUUGGUAUUUGGAGUUCCAAAUGUAUAUAGACAAAAUGAUUCAUGUUUUUGGUUUGAGUAUUUGUGUUAGAUUAGUUGCUUAAGACAGGUCAAAUCAAGAUUUGACUCUUCUUCUUCCUUAGCUGCAGGUUUUAUACUUGUUGAUUGUUGUCUUUGGAUUUUAACAAAACCAUUGGUAACAUCCAAAGACAACAGAAGCUUCAAAUGUCUUUGAACUAUAAUCAUAACAACAUUUGUGUUCGAGAAGUGCCUAAAGAGAAUCUAGUCUCAACUGGUCUUUAGACUAUAUCUUAUGAUGACGAUGACCGCAACUCUUCAGUGAGUUCUACUAGUUGUAGCAUUGUAGCUGCUUCUCCAAUCUUUCAGUCACUCCAUGUUAGUCUUCGGAUUGACCUCAAUAGACAAAAAGAUGAACUUGACUAGUUCAUCAAGGUACUGAUUGUCUCUGCAUGUGCUCUGUUUUUGCCUCAACCACAUAAAGAAACACAUACUUUGAGAUGGAAUCAGCUUCAGACAUGACACUCAAAAAGCACUUGUUCUUUGGUUCCUUGGUUAUCAAGUUAAGCCUCUGUUUUGUUUCCCCUCAAAUAAUCAAAUAAUAUAUACACGGAUAUGUAAAAUAUAUGUGUUUGACGAUUAUUUUUUUGUCUUUUUCCCUUGAAGCUUGUCUAUUAUUCAAUCAAAUCUGUCCCAUUUGAUAA